RNAcentral lists this small RNA (77 nucleotides) under Xanthomonas vasicola pv. musacearum NCPPB 4380. Its description in RNAcentral is "Xanthomonas campestris pv. musacearum NCPPB 4380 sX9". Lineage: Bacteria; Pseudomonadati; Pseudomonadota; Gammaproteobacteria; Lysobacterales; Lysobacteraceae. RNAcentral also lists the same sequence under 3 other names. The record is from RNAcentral.
AUCUAUCAUUCGUAACAGUGCGGUUCCCGCGUGCCAAUCCAGGGCCCCCGACGGCUGCUCGCCACGGUUUGUCAGAC